CCUACGGGAGGCAGCAGUGAGGAAUAUUGGUCAAUGGGCGCGAGCCUGAACCAGCCAAGUAGCGUGAAGGAUGACUGCCCUACGGGUUGUAAACUUCUUUUAUAAAGGAAUAAAGUGAGGCACGUGUGCCUUUUUGUAUGUACUUUAUGAAUAAGGAACGGCUAAAUCCGUGCCAGCAGCCGCGGUAAUACGGAGGAUCCGAGCGUUAUCCGGGUUUAUUGGGUUUAAAGGGAGCGUAGAUGGGUUGUUAAGUCAGGUGUGAAAGUUUGUGGCUCAACCGUAAAAUUGCAAUUGAUACUGGCAGUCUAGAGUACAGUUGAGGUAGGCGGAAUUCGUGGUGUAGCGGUGAAAUGCUUAGAUAUCACGAAGAACUCCGAUUGCGAAGGCAGCUUACUAGACUGCCACUGACAUUGAUGCUCGAAAGUGUGGGUAUCAAACAGGAUUAGAUACCCUAGUAGUC
Molecule: ribosomal RNA, 460 nt
Filed under: uncultured bacterium
Lineage: Bacteria
Description: partial 16S ribosomal RNA
Rfam family: Bacterial small subunit ribosomal RNA
Source: RNAcentral